RNAcentral lists this ribosomal RNA (115 nucleotides) under Danio rerio (zebrafish). Lineage: Eukaryota; Metazoa; Chordata; Actinopteri; Cypriniformes; Danionidae. The record is from RNAcentral.
GCUGGCAGCUAGCUCUCUGCAACUCUCACAUGGUCGCCCACUGAAGUUGAGCAGAGCUGCACCCGGUCAGUACCUGGUUGGGAGACCACAUGGGAAAGCUAGGUUGCUGCCGGAA